Molecule: ribosomal RNA, 274 nt
Filed under: uncultured prokaryote
Description: partial 16S ribosomal RNA
Rfam family: Bacterial small subunit ribosomal RNA
Source: RNAcentral
UACGUAGGGGCGAGCGUUGUCCGGAAUAAUUGGGCGUAAAGGGCGCGUAGGCGGCUCUGCAAGUCAGUAGUGGAAGUCCCAUUUUCAAGGUGGGGAGGGCUAUUGAAACUGCGGAGCUUGAGUGCAGGAGAGGUUAUCGGAAUUCCCGGUGUAGCGGUGAAAUGCGUAGAGAUCGGGAGGAACACCAGUGGCGAAGGCGGGUAACUGGACUGCAACUGACGCUGAGGCGCGAAAGUGUGGGGAGCAAACAGGAUUAGAUACCCUAGUAGUCCCU